CCAUAGUGAGCGAGAGGCUAGGGCACCGCUGGGGGGAGCUGCCAGGCCAUCCGAGGGGCCCCAGCAUCUGAGCCAUGUCCUCCUGCAGGAAAGUACAUCAGCCAGGGGGCAGUGUCAGAGACGCAGCACUGGGAGAGGAGGACAUCGUCAGGCUGGCCCAGGACCAGGAGGAGAUGAAGGUGAACCUGCAGGAGCUGCGGGGCAGGUGUUGCAGCUUGUGGGCGACCACAAGGAGGGGCAUGGCAAAUUUUGACCAUUGCCCAGAACCCUGCUGAUGAGCCCACUCUAGGAGCCCCAGUAGCCCAGGAGCUUGGGUGUGCUGACGAGCAGGGUGGCUUUUAUCCUAGAUCACCACUGGAUUGCUGACAGAUAGAGGAGGUGGGACCCUGACUAUCACCCCUAAUCUGCAGUGGAUUUGGCUCUCGGCACUCCCAGGCUGGGAGCUGGAUACCUGCCCUGGCAGCAUGGCUCAGACUGCAUGACAGGUACGGCGUGCCCAGGAUGAUGUGCCCAGGCCUCUGGCCGCCUGAGUCCAGCCCCCCACACAACCCCC
RNAcentral lists this long non-coding RNA (553 nucleotides) under Homo sapiens (human). RNAcentral describes it as "non-protein coding lnc-WDR73-5:9". The record is from RNAcentral. Lineage: Eukaryota; Metazoa; Chordata; Mammalia; Primates; Hominidae.